GAUCAUGGCUCAGGAUGAACGCUGGCGGCGUGCUUAACACAUGCAAGUCGAACGGGAAGUACUUUAUUGAAACUUCGGUCGAUUUAAUUUAUUUCUAGUGGCGGACGGGUGAGUAACGCGUGGGUAACCUGCCUUAUACUGGGGGAUAACAGCCAGAAAUGACUGCUAAUACCGCAUAAGCGCACAGAACCGCAUGGUUCCGUGUGAAAAACUCCGGUGGUAUAAGAUGGACCCGCGUUGGAUUAGCUAGUUGG
This 254-nucleotide ribosomal RNA is filed under the name uncultured bacterium. Its description in RNAcentral is "partial 16S ribosomal RNA". It matches the Rfam family "Bacterial small subunit ribosomal RNA", at positions 15 to 252 of the family's 1533-position model. The record is from RNAcentral.